CCUACGGGAGGCUGCAGUGGGGGAUAUUGCACAAUGGGGGAAACCCUGAUGCAGCGACGCCGCGUGUGGGAAGACGGUCUUCUGGAUUGUAAACCACUGUCCCCAGGGACGAAAAUGACGGUACCUGGGGCGGAAGCUCCGGCUAACUACGUGCCAGCAGCCGCGGUCAUACGUAGGGAGCAAGCGUUGUCCGGAAUUACUGGGUGUAAAGGGAGCGUAGGCGGGGAUGCAAGUUGGGUGUCAAAACUACCGGCUCAACCGAUAGUCGCACUCAAAACUGCAACUCUGGAGUGAAGGAGAGGCAGGCGGAAUUCGUAGUGUAGCGGUGAAAUGCGUAGAUAUCAGGAGGAACCCCAGUGGCGAAGGCGGCCUGCUGGGCUUUGACUGACGCUGAGGCUCGAAAGUGUGGGGAGCAAACAGGAUUAGAUACCCUUGUAGUC
This 440-nucleotide ribosomal RNA is filed under the name uncultured bacterium. Its description in RNAcentral is "partial 16S ribosomal RNA". It matches the Rfam family "Bacterial small subunit ribosomal RNA", at positions 338 to 795 of the family's 1533-position model. The record is from RNAcentral.